UAUCUUCCCCAUGGCCAGCAGGAAGGCCAGCAGGAAGGCCAUCAGGAAGGCCAGCAGGGCUUCAGGGACCUUGCUCUUUACAGGGUAGCAGAUGUAGGUCCUGGGGCUCAAACUUGUAUCCUAAGGUUUGGUGGCGAACUCCCUUACCCACUGAACCACCUCACCAAAGCUGCAUAGGAUUCGUGAAAAUGCAAGGUUACACAUCCACCGUCAGAGCAUGCCAACUGCCUAUCACUGGAGGUUCAUAUUCAUUUUUAAUGAGAGAAACAGAGAUGAAUCUGAGUCAGGUUCCAGAACACUGGUAGACACUGGUCGAGAGGAGGGGAAGGUGGCUGCACCCAAAAUGCCUGAAGCUGAGUGCCCACGGUCUUUAUUCUAUUAGACUGGGGAUGAGCUGAAGGAGGAGCUGAAGUCUUCAAAUCACCUUUCCCUCACUCCUGACCACCACCUCACCCUCUACCCUCAACACACAAGAGGCAGGCUCAGCUCAGCCUUAUCUCUAAGGCUGUCUCCAACAUUCCUUCAUCCUGAAAAGUUUCCAUAGCCACGGAGAUGGCUUAGCUGGUGAAGGCAUUCCUCACCAAACCUCACAAACCCAGAACCCAUAGUGGAAGCAGAGAACCAGCUCCUGCCAGUUGUCCUCUGACCCCCCAACCUGUGCACGUUGAUAAGCACACACACCGCCCUCCGCUCCAAAGGAAGUAAAUAAUUGCUAGGGGGUUAGUUUUUGUUUGUUUUUAAGAAGACAUUUCCAGCCAAUAAAGGGCUUCCUGAAAUUGGGCAGAGCAACCU
This 792-nucleotide long non-coding RNA is filed under the name Mus pahari (shrew mouse). RNAcentral describes it as "lncRNA (MGP_PahariEiJ_G0004271.1)". Lineage: Eukaryota; Metazoa; Chordata; Mammalia; Rodentia; Muridae. The record is from RNAcentral.